Molecule: non-coding RNA, 105 nt
Filed under: unclassified sequences
Description: GP20-a RNA
Rfam family: GP20-a RNA
About the family: gut metagenomes. Environment (Cow rumen (57))
Source: RNAcentral
AUUACUCUACCAUGCCGAGAUAUAACUGCAUGGGGCUUCACAACCGUUGAGCGGCAACGGAUAUACAAAUUAAAGCGGUAUCAUGAAGCACAGCUACGGAGGUAA